RNAcentral lists this ribosomal RNA (552 nucleotides) under uncultured bacterium. RNAcentral describes it as "partial 16S ribosomal RNA". It matches the Rfam family "Bacterial small subunit ribosomal RNA", at positions 356 to 923 of the family's 1533-position model. The record is from RNAcentral.
GGGGAAUAUUGCACAAUGGGCGAAAGCCUGAUGCAGCAACGCCGCGUGAGUGAUGAAGGUCUUCGGAUUGUAAAGCUCUGUCUUUUGGGACGAUAAUGACGGUACCAAAGGAGGAAGCCACGGCUAACUACGUGCCAGCAGCCGCGGUAAUACGUAGGUGGCGAGCGUUGUCCGGAUUUACUGGGCGUAAAGGGUGCGUAGGCGGAUGUUUAAGUGAGAUGUGAAAUACCCGGGCUUAACUUGGGUGCUGCAUUUCAAACUGGAUAUCUAGAGUGCAGGAGAGGAGAAUGGAAUUCCUAGUGUAGCGGUGAAAUGCGUAGAGAUUAGGAAGAACACCAGUGGCGAAGGCGAUUCUCUGGACUGUAACUGACGCUGAGGCACGAAAGCGUGGGUAGCAAACAGGAUUAGAUACCCUGGUAGUCCACGCCGUAAACGAUGAGUACUAGGUGUAGGAGGUAUCGACCCCUUCUGUGCCGCAGUAAACACAUUAAGUACUCCGCCUGGGAAGUACGAUCGCAAGAUUAAAACUCUAAAGUGAAUUGCGGGGUCAUA